UACGUAGGGUGCAAGCGUUGUCCGGAAUUAUUGGGCGUAAAGAGCUCGUAGGCGGUUUGUCGCGUCUGCUGUGAAAACUCGGGGCUUAACCCCGGGCCUGCAGUGGGUACGGGCAGACUAGAGUGCGGUAGGGGAGACUGGAAUUCCUGGUGUAGCGGUGAAAUGCGCAGAUAUCAGGAGGAACACCGGUGGCGAAGGCGGGUCUCUGGGCAGCAUCUGACACUGAGGCACGAAGGCCAGGGGAGCAAACGGG
Molecule: ribosomal RNA, 253 nt
Filed under: uncultured bacterium
Lineage: Bacteria
Description: partial 16S ribosomal RNA
Rfam family: Bacterial small subunit ribosomal RNA
Source: RNAcentral